This 258-nucleotide long non-coding RNA is filed under the name Oryza sativa Indica Group (long-grained rice). Its description in RNAcentral is "lncRNA OsGoSa_03g0022550". Lineage: Eukaryota; Viridiplantae; Streptophyta; Magnoliopsida; Poales; Poaceae. The record is from RNAcentral.
AAAUUCAGCACUAAAGUAUUAAAUGUUCACCCAAGUUAUGUCAGGGUGAUUACCCAAAUUAACUUACCAUUUGUCUGUGAUAUCAGGCUUGUUAACGACAUUGUCUUUGUGCAGGAAUGCCCGUUUAUUGAAAAGCUAUGUGCCACUGAGCUUGUUCUUGCUUCCAAAUAUGGUGCUGCUCUCAUGAAUAUUGAUAAGGUCUUCCAUCUCUUCAUGGUAGUUUUGUAUGUUUGUGCAGGUCUUCCAGAUUACACAUAG